AAUAACCUAAUGAAUUAAAAUCUCAAAUAAAUCUCAAAUUAAUUAUAAAAUUGAUGAGAAUAUUUUUCAUAGAUUCAUCAUCCUCCAAAUAGGUUAGGGAAAUAUUUUUGUAUUUUUUGAAUAUCAAAAACUACUUAAAAUGAAUUAAAAAUAACCAGAAAAGAGAAAAUUCACAAAAAAUAUCAAAUGAUGAAAUAAAAAAUAUUAAAAAUCAGAAUUAGAAACUAGAAAUUAUUUGGAGAAGAAUGCAAUUUGUCCCAUAUUUUUUGGAUUAAAAAUGAAGAAGAUAUUGAUUUUUGAAAAUAAUGGAAAUAAAAGAAAUUAAAUCAGAAAAUUG
RNAcentral lists this long non-coding RNA (337 nucleotides) under Lathyrus oleraceus (garden pea). RNAcentral's name for it is "Pisum sativum (pea) long non-coding RNA (PSAT_LNC032871)". The record is from RNAcentral. Lineage: Eukaryota; Viridiplantae; Streptophyta; Magnoliopsida; Fabales; Fabaceae.